This 412-nucleotide RNase P RNA is filed under the name Acidobacteriota bacterium. RNAcentral's name for it is "Acidobacteria bacterium RNase P RNA component class A". It matches the Rfam family "Bacterial RNase P class A". Rfam says of the family: Ribonuclease P (RNase P) is a ubiquitous endoribonuclease, found in archaea, bacteria and eukarya as well as chloroplasts and mitochondria. Its best characterised activity is the generation of mature 5'-ends of tRNAs by cleaving the 5'-leader elements of precursor-tRNAs. Cellular RNase Ps are ribonucleoproteins. The record is from RNAcentral. Lineage: Bacteria; Pseudomonadati; Acidobacteriota.
GCAGAGGGACAGGCGACCGCUGCACGCGGUGCCCUUCAGGGCAUCGGGUGGGGAGGAAAGUCCGAACUCCGGAGGGCAGUGCGCCGGGUAAUCCCCGGUCAGGGCGACCUGAAGGAAAGUGGCACAGAAAACAUACCGCCUCCCGGCGUGCCGGUUAACGGUUCGCCGGGCGGUAAGGGUGAAAAGGUGCGGUAAGAGCGCACCGCGUCCGCCGCAAGGCGGAUGGCAGGCUAAACCCCGCACGGAGCAAGACCGAAUAGGGAGGCGCUCGAGGGCGGCCCGUCCGAAGCCUCCGGGUAGGUUGCUCGACCCCGCCAGCGAUGGCGGGGCUAGAGGAAUGGUCGUCGCCCGGCGCCUGUCCGUUCGCGGGCGGCGGCGGGUACAGAAUUCGGCUUAUCGUCCCUCUGCGGCG